UCUUGGAAUAUUAAUAAUUACGCCUUAUAUUAAAGAAGUUGGGCAACCAACUAUGGCGAUAAACAGUCGUGUGGAAUAGACGUUGCGGACCCGGGGGCGGUACCCGGCGCCUCCACCAAAAAAAGUCAAAACCUUAAAUUUAAGAGAACGACUUUUUCUGAGGGGGGCGAAAUUAGGAUCGACGUGCGUAGUAAAGGCAUAUCUUUCGCUCAGCGUGACACCGCUGCAAAACAGGUCAAAAUUCACAAAUGCAAACGAUAAUGAAGCAUUUGCCGUAGCCGCUUAAGGCUACACGGGGUUCGGAGGGCACCUGGCAACAGAAGCCCUUCA
RNAcentral lists this transfer-messenger RNA (330 nucleotides) under marine eukaryotic metagenome. RNAcentral's name for it is "Alphaproteobacteria transfer-messenger RNA". It matches the Rfam family "Alphaproteobacteria transfer-messenger RNA". From Rfam's summary of the family: Bacterial tmRNA, also known as 10Sa RNA or SsrA, is named for its dual tRNA and mRNA-like properties. Its role is to liberate the mRNA from a stalled ribosome. The record is from RNAcentral.